GACGAACGCUGGCGGCGUGCCUAAUACAUGCAAGUCGAGCGAAGUUUUUCUGGUGCUUGCACUAGAAAAACUUAGCGGCGAACGGGUGAGUAACACGUAAAGAACCUGCCUCAUAGACUGGGACAACUAUUGGAAACGAUAGCUAAUACCGGAUAACAGUAUUUCUCGCAUGAGAGAUAUUUAAAAGUUGGUUAUGCUAACACUAUGAGAUGGCUUUGCGGUGCAUUAGCUAGUUGGUGGGGUAAAGGCCCACCAAGGCGACGAUGCAUAGCCGACCUGAGAGGUGGAUCGGCCACACUGGGAAUGAGACACGGCCCAGACUCCUACGGGAGGCAGCAGUAGGGAAUCUUCCGCAAUGGGCGAAAGCCUGACGGAGCAACGCCGCGUGAGUGAAGAAGGAUUUCGGUUCGUAAAGCUCUGUUGUUAGGGAAGAAUGGAUAUGUAGUAACUAUACAUGUAAGAGACGGUACCUAACCAGAAAGCCACGGCUAACUACGUG
Molecule: ribosomal RNA, 499 nt
Filed under: uncultured bacterium
Lineage: Bacteria
Description: partial 16S ribosomal RNA
Rfam family: Bacterial small subunit ribosomal RNA
Source: RNAcentral